AGGCCUGUUAGUACACUUAUAUUACGAUUUCUUCAUUUUAUUAUUAGUUCAUGUAAUUUUUUCAAAAUCGAAUAUGUGGAAAGGAGCUGUUUGGAAUGAAGAUUUACAAGAAGAAGUUGUUCCAUCUAAUUGGAUUAGCGAUAAAACUGUUUGUCGGCUUCCAGGUACCAAAGCAUUGACUGCACUAAAAUGCAGAGAAGAUUUUGCUUAAGUUUAUACAAAUAAAAACAAAAUUCUAUUCAGUUAUAUGGCCUACACGGAUAUGAAAGGCAAAGGUGGAAAAAUAUGUUUUAAGAACACUAAUCUAUAUGGCGUUGAAAAAGAUAUACCUUCUUUCUUCUAUUGUAUUCAAUGGACCAAAAGAAACCUCGGUUAAUGGAACAUUGUUUGAUUUAUCUAAAUUACGCUCUAUUUCAAAAAGGUGAUGGAAAAGAGAAGAAAUUUGUGUAGAUUUUAUUUAAUUAUAUAUAAAUAUAUGUAAUAUUUAAAUAUAUUUUUCAA
Long non-coding RNA from Hydra vulgaris (swiftwater hydra), 501 nucleotides. RefSeq lists it as uncharacterized. The record is from RefSeq and is a predicted model, not a curated record. Lineage: Eukaryota; Metazoa; Cnidaria; Hydrozoa; Anthoathecata; Hydridae.